This 312-nucleotide ribosomal RNA is filed under the name uncultured bacterium. RNAcentral's name for it is "bacterial SSU rRNA". It matches the Rfam family "Bacterial small subunit ribosomal RNA", at positions 28 to 333 of the family's 1533-position model. The record is from RNAcentral.
GACGAACGCUGGCGGCGUGCUUAACACAUGCAAGUCGAGCGGUAAGGCCCUUUCGGGGUACGACGAGCGGCGAACGGGUAGGAGUAACAACGUGGGUGGACCCGCCCUCAGCUCUGGGAUAAGGCCUGGGAAACCGGGUCGUAAUACUGGAUAUGACUCCAUGACGCAUGUUGUGGGGUGGGAAGGCCGUUGUGCGGCUGAGGAUGGGCCCGCGGCCUAUCAGCUUGUUGGUGGGGUGAUGGCCUACCAAGGCGACGACGGGUAGCCGGCCUGAGAGGGCGACCGGCCACACUGGGACUGAGACACGGCCCA